Molecule: ribosomal RNA, 497 nt
Filed under: uncultured bacterium
Lineage: Bacteria
Description: partial 16S ribosomal RNA
Rfam family: Bacterial small subunit ribosomal RNA
Source: RNAcentral
GAUGAACGCUGGCGGCGUGCCUAAUACAUGCAAGUCGAGCGAACAGACGAGGAGCUUGCUCCUCUGACGUUAUCGGCGGACGGGUGCGUCACACGUGGAUAACCUACCUAUACGACUGGGAUAACUUCGGGAAACCGUAGCUAAUACCGGAUAAUAUAUUGAACCGCAUUGUUCAAUAGUUAAAGACGGUUUUGCUGUCACUUAUAGCUGGAUCCGGGCUGCAUGAGCUAGUUGGUAAGGUAACGGCUUACCAAGGCAGCGAGGCGUAGCCGACCCGAGAGGGUGAUCGGCCACAUGGGAACUGAGACUGGUCCCAGACUCCUACGGGGGGCAGCAGUAGAGAAUCUUCCGCAAUGGGCGAAAGCCUGACGGUGCAACGCCGCGUGAGGGAUGAAGGUCUUCGGAUCGUAAAGCUCUGUUAUUAGGGAAGUACAAAUGUGUAAGUAACUAUGCACGUCUUGACGGUACCUAAUCAGAAAGCCACGGCUAACUACGUG